CGUACGAGUUCUCGUUGAUGAUCGGUGCUUGCACCAAGAUUGAACAUGCAACGAGUGGCGGACGGGUGAGUAACACGUGGGUAACCUGCCCUUAAGUGGGGGAUAACAUUUGGAAACAGAUGCUAAUACCGCAUAGAUCCAAGAACCGCAUGGUUCUUGGCUGAAAGAUGGCGUAAGCUAUCGCUUUUGGAUGGACCCGCGGCGUAUUAGCUAGUUGGUGAGGUAAUGGCUCACCAAGGCGAUGAUACGUAGCCGAACUGAGAGGUUGAUCGGCCACAUUGGGACUGAGACACGGCCCAAACUCCUACGGGAGGCAGCAGUAGGGAAUCUUCCACAAUGGACGCAAGUCUGAUGGAGCAACGCCGCGUGAGUGAAGAAGGCUUUCGGGUCGUAAAACUCUGUUGUUGGAGAAGAAUGGUCGGCAGAGUAACUGUUGUCGGCGUGACGGUAUCCAACCAGAAAGCCACGGCUAACUACGUGCCAGCAGCCGCGGUAAUACGUAGGUGGCAAGCGUUAUCCGGAUUUAUUGGGCGUAAAGCGAGCGCAGGCGGUUUUUUAAGUCUGAUGUGAAAGCCCUCGGCUUAACCGAGGAAGCGCAUCGGAAACUGGGAAACUUGAGUGCAGAAGAGGACAGUGGAACUCCAUGUGUAGCGGUGAAAUGCGUAGAUAUAUGGAAGAACACCAGUGGCGAAGGCGGCUGUCUGGUCUGUAACUGACGCUGAGGCUCGAAAGCAUGGGUAGCGAACAGGAUUAGAUACCCUGGUAGUCCAUGCCGUAAACGAUGAAUGCUAGGUGUUGGA
This 800-nucleotide ribosomal RNA is filed under the name uncultured bacterium. Its description in RNAcentral is "bacterial SSU rRNA". It matches the Rfam family "Bacterial small subunit ribosomal RNA", at positions 63 to 827 of the family's 1533-position model. The record is from RNAcentral.